GGUGAUUCAUAGUAACCGAACGGAUCGCAUUAUAAUUAUCAUUAUUUGAUGAUUGGCGAUAGAUCAUUCAAGUUUCUGACCUAUCAGCUUUCGACGGUAGUGUAUUGGACUACCGUGGCAGUGACGGGUAACGGGGAAUUAGGGUUCGAUUCCGGAGAGGGAGCCUGAGAAGCGGCUACCACAUCUAAGGAAGGCAGCAGGCGCGCAAAUUACCCAAUCCUGACUCAGGGAGGUAGUGACAAGAAAUAACAACACUGGAAAUUUGAUUUCUAGUGAUUGGAAUGAUGGGAAUCCAAACCCCUUUCAGAGUAACAAUUGGAGGGCAAGUCUGGUGCCAGCAGCCGCGGUAAUUCCAGCUCCAAUAGCGUAUAUUAAAGUUGUUGCAGUUAAAAAGCUCGUAGUUGGAUGUCUGUUGGAAGCAAUCAUCAGUCCGCCCUAUUUGAUUAGGGUGUGAAUAUGAUGAAUUCCGGCAUAAUUGUCUCCCUAUUGUUAAUAUUCUGAUUGUUAGAUUCAUUUCUAACAAUAAUACGAUUAUUAAUAAUAAGGGGGAAAUGUUACUUUGAGAAAAUUAGAGUGUUUGAAGCAGGCUUUUGUUGCCUUGAAUACUGCAGCAUGGAAUAACAAUAUAGGAUUUCGGUUCUAUUUUGUUGGUUCUUUUUUUAGGACUGAAAUAAUGAUUAAUAGGGACAGUUGGGGGCAUUCGUAUUUAACUGUCAGAGGUGAAAUUCUUAGAUUUGUUAAAGACGAACUACUGCGAAAGCAUUUGCCAAAGAUGUUUUCAUUAAUCAAGAACGAAAGUUAGGGGCUCGAAGACGAUCAGAUACCGUCGUAGUCUUAACCAUAAACUAUGCCGACUAGAGAUAGGAAAAAGUCAUCCUUGACUUCUCCUGCACCUUAUGAGAAAUC
This 906-nucleotide ribosomal RNA is filed under the name Sarcocystis miescheriana. RNAcentral describes it as "SSU rRNA". It matches the Rfam family "Eukaryotic small subunit ribosomal RNA", at positions 245 to 1099 of the family's 1831-position model. The record is from RNAcentral. Lineage: Eukaryota; Apicomplexa; Conoidasida; Eucoccidiorida; Sarcocystidae.